CGGAGCAAACGUCUUGUAAUAAAAAAAGACAUUAAUCACUUAUUCCUUAUCUGUUGAUUCUCAUCUUGAAGCUCGUGUUUAACUUAAGUCUCCAGUAAUAAGGUCAAAAAUAUAUCGUAAAGUGAGCAAUCUCAAGACGAUUUACCCUUUUUGUGUUAACAUGGUCAAUUUUAAUUUUUAUUAUCAUUCAUCCCUGAUCGAAUUUGUAUUUGAAUCUGAUUCUGUUACCUUUGUGAAUCUGCUGACUUAGGCGAUGAACUCCAUUAUGUGAUGUAAAUACUGGUUAAUAAGAUAUA
Molecule: long non-coding RNA, 296 nt
Filed under: Mytilus galloprovincialis (Mediterranean mussel)
Lineage: Eukaryota; Metazoa; Mollusca; Bivalvia; Mytilida; Mytilidae
Source: RNAcentral